GGGGCUAAUACCGCAUAUGGGCUGAGGCCCAAAGCCGUGAGGCGCCUUUGGAGCGGCCUGCGUCCGAUUAGCUAGUUGGUGGGGUAAAGGCCUACCAAGGCUCCGAUCGGUAGCUGGUCUGAGAGGACGAUCAGCCACACUGGGACUGAGACACGGCCCAGACUCCUACGGGAGGCAGCAGUGGGGAAUAUUGGACAAUGGGCGCAAGCCUGAUCCAGCAAUGCCGCGAGGGUGAAGAAGGUCUUCGGAUCCGAAAGCCCUUUCGACGGGGACGAUGAUGACGGCACCUGUAGAAGAAGCCCCGGCUAACCUUUAAAUUUCAGCCGCGGUAAUACGAAGGGGGCUAGCGUUGCUCGGAAUUACUGGGCGUAAAGGGCGCGUAGGCGGC
This 388-nucleotide ribosomal RNA is filed under the name uncultured Alphaproteobacteria bacterium. RNAcentral describes it as "bacterial SSU rRNA". It matches the Rfam family "Bacterial small subunit ribosomal RNA", at positions 159 to 579 of the family's 1533-position model. Lineage: Bacteria; Pseudomonadati; Pseudomonadota; Alphaproteobacteria. The record is from RNAcentral.